Molecule: long non-coding RNA, 1198 nt
Organism: Rosa rugosa (rugosa rose)
Lineage: Eukaryota; Viridiplantae; Streptophyta; Magnoliopsida; Rosales; Rosaceae
Exons: 9
Source: RefSeq, a predicted model, not a curated record
AAAAACGAAGAUAAAAUACUCUAAAGGGUAAUAGGAUGUCGCCCUUUUCUCUCUCUGCCGUUCUCCUCUCAUAGUCUCAUGAAGCUCCGUCUCCGUCUCUGAGGCUCCCUCUUUGGGUCUACCAUCUUUGAAGCUCUCAUCUCAGACAAGGAGUUGUUGAUACCAGGUCAAUUCAAUCUUUUCUGUCGCUGCGCUACCAAUUGCUGGGUUCGAAUUGGGUCUAUGCUACCAUAUUUUGGUUCCACGUUUCAAGUUGGGGUCUCAACUUCUACUAGAUUAUGCAAAGGGAAAUGCAGGACAAGUUUCCUCAUAUACUAUACAGUCAUUGUUAGAGUCUAUGAAACAAGGUUGGAUCUUUUGAGAGCUGUAAUUGUUGGAGCUAAGGGUACUCCUUUCCAUGAUGGUAUCUUUUUCUUUGAUGUUUCCUUCCCCAGUGGGUACCCCAAUGUGCCGCCGGUAGGAGCUUUAGCACCUGCAAGACCAUUUGCUUUCAUUAAAUUCAAGGUCAGUCAAAUGUCCAGUCCUUUAACAUCAGAGUAUGCUGAUAAAGCGAGAGACUUGAAUUGACAGCUCUCCAGUACUAUACUCUUUGUUUCAGUUUCAAAUCACGUUGUACGGUUUUAGUGUUUUAUGGUGGCAUACCGGUGGAUGAGGCAUUACAUGACAGUGGCUAUAGUUAAAGCCCAAUCCUGAUAGAAGUGCAAAAGGCACAGUCAUUGAGGCCGCUCUUGAUAAAUCUAGAGGACCUUUAGUUACACUUAUCGUGCAAAAUGGAACCAUUAGAAAGGGGGACAUAGUAGUUUGUGGAGAAGCCUUUGGAAAGGUCUUAACAGCUUCUAGCUUAAGAGCUCUUGGGUAUGCUGGUGAAGUAGAAGGGAUUGGUCAUGUUGUGGCCUUAGACAAUGAUUAAGAUAAUUAGGGGAGCUUGCACUGGAAGGAGCUCAUUAUUUGACAACAGGGGAGCUCGUUAGUCUCAGUGAGCAGCAGCUUGUGGACUGUGAUCAUGAGGAAGUGAGAGGCUUGUCUUGUUAAGCUUUCUUGAAUAAUAGCUAAAGCUGCUAGUAUAUGCUUUUGCCUUUGAAAUAGGUUUGGAUCUUUUCCUUCAAGUCUGUCAGAAUAAUGAACUACCAAGAGCGUUUUGUACUGUAAACCAUAUGUAAACCAUUUUGCUGCAAUAUAAGUUUCUUCUGUUCCAAAA